Molecule: ribosomal RNA, 465 nt
Filed under: uncultured Klebsiella sp.
Lineage: Bacteria; Pseudomonadati; Pseudomonadota; Gammaproteobacteria; Enterobacterales; Enterobacteriaceae
Description: bacterial SSU rRNA
Rfam family: Bacterial small subunit ribosomal RNA
Source: RNAcentral
CCUACGGGAGGCUGCAGUGGGGAAUAUUGCACAAUGGGCGCAAGCCUGAUGCAGCCAUGCCGCGUGUGUGAAGAAGGCCUUCGGGUUGUAAAGCACUUUCAGCGGGGAGGAAGGCGGUGAGGUUAAUAACCCCAUCGAUUGACGUUACCCGCAGAAGAAGCACCGGCUAACUCCGUGCCAGCAGCCGCGGUAAUACGGAGGGUGCAAGCGUUAAUCGGAAUUACUGGGCGUAAAGCGCACGCAGGCGGUCUGUCAAGUCGGAUGUGAAAUCCCCGGGCUCAACCUGGGAACUGCAUUCGAAACUGGCAGGCUAGAGUCUUGUAGAGGGGGGUAGAGUUCCAGGUGUAGCGGUGAAAUGCGUAGAGAUCUGGAGGAAUACCGGUGGCGAAGGCGGCCCCCUGGACAAAGACUGACGCUCAGGUGCGAAAGCGUGGGGAGCAAACAGGAUUAGAUACCCUAGUAGUC